GCGUGGGAACCUACCUUUCGGUACGGAACAACAGUUGGAAACGACUGCUAAUACCGUAUACGUCCUUCGGGAGAAAGAUUUAUCGCCGAUAGAGGGGCCCGCGUUGGAUUAGCUUGUUGGUGAGGUAAUGGCUCACCAAGGCGACGAUCCGUAGCUGGUCUGAGAGGAUGAUCAGCCACACUGGGACUUAGACACGGCCCAGACUCCUACGGGAGGCAGCAGUGGGGAAUAUUGGACAAUGGGCGCAAGCCUGAUCCAGCCAUGCCGCGUGAGUGAUGACGGCCCUAGGGUUGUAAAGCUCUUUCAGUGGUGAAGAUAAUGACGGUAACCACAGAAGAAGCCCCGGCUAACUCCGUGCCAGCAGCCGCGGUAAUACGGAGGGGGCAAGCGUUGUUCGGAAUUACUGGGCGUAAAGCGCGCGUAGGCGGGUCUUUAAGUCAGAGGUGAAAUCCUGGAGCUCAACUCCAGAACUGCCUUUGAUACUGGAGAUCUUGAGUCCGGAAGAGGUUAGUGGAAUUCCCAGUGUAGAGGUGAAAUUCGUAGAUAUUGGGAAGAACACCAGUGGCGAAGGCGGCUAACUGGUCCGGUACUGACGCUGAGGUGCGAAAG
Molecule: ribosomal RNA, 609 nt
Filed under: uncultured bacterium
Lineage: Bacteria
Description: bacterial SSU rRNA
Rfam family: Bacterial small subunit ribosomal RNA
Source: RNAcentral